CCUACGGGUGGCAGCAGUGAGGAAUAUUGGUCAAUGGACGAGAGUCUGAACCAGCCAAGUAGCGUGAAGGAUGACUGCCCUAUGGGUUGUAAACCUCUUUUAUAAGGGAAGAAUAAAUGCUACGUGUAGCAUGAUGCCUGUACCUUAUGAAUAAGGAUCGGCUAACUCCGUGCCAGCAGCCGCGGUAAUACGGAGGAUCCGAGCGUUAUCCGGAUUUAUUGGGUUUAAAGGGAGCGUAGAUGGGUUGUUAAGUCAGUUGUGAAAGUUUGCGGCUCAACCGUAAAAUUGCAAUUGAUACUGGCCGCCUUGAGGACAGUUGGGGUAGGCGGAAUUCGUGGUGUAGCGGUGAAAUGCUUAGAUAUCACGAAGAACUCCGAUUGCGAAGGCAGCCUACUAAACUGCCACUGACAUUGAUGCUCGAAAGUGUGGGUAUCAAACAGGAUUAGAUACCCUUGUAGUC
This 460-nucleotide ribosomal RNA is filed under the name uncultured bacterium. RNAcentral's name for it is "partial 16S ribosomal RNA". It matches the Rfam family "Bacterial small subunit ribosomal RNA", at positions 338 to 795 of the family's 1533-position model. The record is from RNAcentral.